RNAcentral lists this ribosomal RNA (164 nucleotides) under Psathyrostachys juncea. Its description in RNAcentral is "5.8S ribosomal RNA". It matches the Rfam family "5.8S ribosomal RNA". From Rfam's summary of the family: 5.8S ribosomal RNA (5.8S rRNA) is a component of the large subunit of the eukaryotic ribosome. It is transcribed by RNA polymerase I as part of the 45S precursor that also contains 18S and 28S rRNA. Functionally, it is thought that 5.8S rRNA may be involved in ribosome translocation. RNAcentral also lists the same sequence under 1 other name. The record is from RNAcentral. Lineage: Eukaryota; Viridiplantae; Streptophyta; Magnoliopsida; Poales; Poaceae.
CACACGACUCUCGGCAACGGAUAUCUCGGCUCUCGCAUCGAUGAAGAACGUAGCGAAAUGCGAUACCUGGUGUGAAUUGCAGAAUCCCGCGAACCAUCGAGCCUUUGAACGCAAGUUGCGCCCGAGGCCACUCGGCCGAGGGCACGCCUGCCUGGGCGUCACGC